AACGAACGCUGGCGGCAUGCCUAACACAUGCAAGUCGAACGAGACCUUCGGGUCUAGUGGCGCACGGGUGCGUAACGCGUGGGAACCUGCCCUUAGGUUCGGAAUAACUCCCCGAAAGGGGUGCUAAUACCGGAUAAUGUCUUCGGACCAAAGAUUUAUCGCCUUUGGAGGGGCCCGCGUUGGAUUAGCUGGUUGGUAGGGUAAAAGCCUACCAAGGCGACGAUCCAUAGCUGGUCUGAGAGGAUGAUCAGCCACACUGGGACUGAGACACGGCCCAGACUCCUACGGGAGGCAGCAGUGGGGAAUAUUGGACAAUGGGCGAAAGCCUGAUCCAGCAAUGCCGCGUGAGUGAUGAAGGCCGUAGGGUUGUAAAGCUCUUUUACCCGGGAUGAUAAUGACAGUACCGGGAGAAUAAGCUCCGGCUAACUCCGUG
Molecule: ribosomal RNA, 433 nt
Filed under: uncultured bacterium
Lineage: Bacteria
Description: partial 16S ribosomal RNA
Rfam family: Bacterial small subunit ribosomal RNA
Source: RNAcentral